Molecule: ribosomal RNA, 229 nt
Filed under: uncultured bacterium
Lineage: Bacteria
Description: partial 16S ribosomal RNA
Rfam family: Bacterial small subunit ribosomal RNA
Source: RNAcentral
UGCGUAGGCGGGGCAAUUAGUCAGUGGUGAAAUCCUGCGGCUUAACCGUAGAAUUGCCAUUGAUACUGUUGCCCUUGAGUAUAGUUGAAGUGGGCGGAAUAUGUAAUGUAGCGGUGAAAUGCAUAGAGAUUACAUAGAACACCAAUUGCGAAGGCAGCUCACUAAGCUAUUACUGACGCUGAGGCACGAAAGCGUGGGGAGCGAACAGGAUUAGAUACCCUGGUAGUCC